UGCAACUCGACUACAUGAAGCUGGAAUCGCUAGUAAUCGCGAAUCAGAAUGUCGCGGUGAAUACGUUCCCGGGUCUUGUACACACCGCCCGUCACACCACGGGAGUCAGUAACGCCCGAAGUCAGUGACCCAACCGGAACAGGAGGGAGCUGCCGAAGGUGGGACCGAUAACUGGGGUGAAGUCGUAACAAGGUAUC
RNAcentral lists this ribosomal RNA (197 nucleotides) under uncultured bacterium. RNAcentral's name for it is "partial 16S ribosomal RNA". It matches the Rfam family "Bacterial small subunit ribosomal RNA", at positions 1306 to 1500 of the family's 1533-position model. The record is from RNAcentral.